UAGAAACUAGAGGCUCUAAAGAGCCUGUGUCGCUCACCUUGGUCUAUGUGAAUAUUAAAGGAAGCAGAUGGAUUCAUGACAAAAUUGUGAUGGUGAUGUGUUUGUACAUCUUACUUUACUGAACAUUCUUGCUGCUUAAAAUUAUCUCUAUCUAUAAUGAACUUGGCCCAUUAGUUUCAGUGGAAAAUGUUAGUAAAAAUUUACAAAUUUUAUGAAAAUUGUUAAAAAUUGACUAUAAAGAACAAUAACUCCUAAGGGGGUCAAUUGACCAUUUCGGCCAUGUUGACUUAUUUGUA
RNAcentral lists this long non-coding RNA (296 nucleotides) under Mytilus galloprovincialis (Mediterranean mussel). The record is from RNAcentral. Lineage: Eukaryota; Metazoa; Mollusca; Bivalvia; Mytilida; Mytilidae.